RNAcentral lists this ribosomal RNA (253 nucleotides) under uncultured bacterium. RNAcentral's name for it is "partial 16S ribosomal RNA". It matches the Rfam family "Bacterial small subunit ribosomal RNA", at positions 524 to 776 of the family's 1533-position model. The record is from RNAcentral.
UACGAAGGGGGCAAGCGUUGUUCGGAAUUACUGGGCGUAAAGGGCGCGUAGGCGGUGCACUAAGUCAGGCGUGAAAGCCCUGGGCUCAACCCGGGAAUUACGCUUGAUACUGGUGCGCUUGAAUCCAGGAGAGGUUGGUGGAAUUCCCAGUGUAGAGGUGAAAUUCGUAGAGAUUGGGAAGAACACCGGUGGCGAAGGCGGCCAACUGGACUGGUAUUGACGCUGAGGCGCGAAAGCGUGGGGAGCAAACAGG